AUGGCGCGCCCCACUCACCAUCUUAUCAUAGCAGAUGCUCCUAAAUGGGCAAUUGAGCAAGUCAAUAAACGGUGCAGAGCAUUUUUUUGGGAAGGGUCGGAAGUGAUUCAUGGAGGAAAAUACCUUGUGGCUUGGCAAAGAGUUUGCAGGCCUAAAGACCUAGGUGGCCUUGGGCUGCUUGAUUUAUACCGUCAAGGCCUGGCAUUAAGAUUGCGUUGGGAGUGGCUCAGGCGUACUGACUCGAACCGACCCUGGCAUGGGCUACCGAUGGCGAGCGAUCCUCAGGUUCAGAGGGCUUUUGACAGCCUAGUGCAUUGGAAACUUGGUGAUGGCAACAAGGUGUUGUUUUGGAAGGAUAGAUGGAUGGAUGGUGGAACUGCUAAGGAGAUUGCUCCGGGCAUAUGGAGCAAGGUUCGCACUCAGACGGUGAACAAGCGGACAGUGUAUGAUGGACUGUUGAACCACCGCUGGACCGCGGACAUCUCAGGAGAGCUUACCACCGACGAUUUAGUUCAGUUAAUCAAGCUCUGGGAGAUUGCCAUUACAACACAUCUUGAUCCUACUCAAAGGUACGAGGCGAUAUGGCCCUGGAACUCCAAGCAAGUUUACACCUCGGCCUCAGCUUAUCAAAUGCUAUUCAAAGGUGCAAUCAGGGUGGCCUACGCGCGAUGGAUUUGGAAAUGCUGGGCACCCCUCACUUGCAAAAUCUUCUUGUGGCUCGCGAUACAACAUAGAAUCUGGACAUCUGACCGGAGGCUACGACAUGGGUUAUAG
RNAcentral lists this ribosomal RNA (774 nucleotides) under Triticum aestivum (bread wheat). RNAcentral describes it as "partial small subunit ribosomal RNA". The record is from RNAcentral. Lineage: Eukaryota; Viridiplantae; Streptophyta; Magnoliopsida; Poales; Poaceae.